RNAcentral lists this long non-coding RNA (983 nucleotides) under Venturia canescens. RNAcentral's name for it is "uncharacterized LOC122417974". Lineage: Eukaryota; Metazoa; Arthropoda; Insecta; Hymenoptera; Ichneumonidae. The record is from RNAcentral.
CUGAUGAGCGCAGUGUCACUAGGCUGCAACGGAUACGUUACUACUCAAUUCAAUUUUUGUGUGUUUGGCACUAUAAAAAGUGAACUAAAAUACAGUUGUGUGCUCUUAAUAGUCGUGUGCUCUUAAUAAAUAACAUUUGGAGCUGCUCUGUAAAAUGAAUACCCAGAAACCAAAUCUAACAUGGAAUGAUGACGAAAAAUCAUCACGGAAUGGUGACCAAAAAUCGACCUCGCCAGUCAAAGAAGAUAAAAAACCAGUUGACCAGGUCAGACCGCCACGAUGGAAGCGUGCAGGAAAAAAAUGCCAAAAAAACAAAGAAGACGCUGAAAAACGGCUCCAAUUCCUUUUGAAACAAUUAUCGACUCCCCGUCGAUAUAAUUAAAAAAGCGAUCUCAUUCAGAAAAAAUAAUCUUUAUUCUUAAUGAGGGAAGAGGACAUCGAGUUAUGAACUCCCACUUCGCGUGCUUAUAACCGAACGCCCAUCAAGUCAUUUACAUACCAUAAAGUUCACAUUAAACUGAGUAGUGCAGUGGUGAGUGAGUUAGUCUCCCGCCUAUUCUGCUCUGGGUUCAAGUCCUGCCUAAACAGAAUAGUUUAGGCAAAAGUGUUUUUUUUUUUUUUUUUCAUUUUUGUUUCAUUAUAUUAUUGAAAUUUAUAAAAUCAUUUACGCGCUUUUAUUGAAAUCACGAAUUGAAUGUCAAAUUAAUUUUUUUGAAUUUUGCAAUUUUUCUAACCCUACUGACUUGGAAAUUAAAAUACCUAUCAGAGUGUACUCGGAAAAAGACAUUUAUCAAAAAAUAAUUUAAUUUAAAAUGUUCCCUGCCUCAUUGAAAGAGAUAUCGAAAAAAAAUGGAAUAAAAUUUUUAAAACAAAUUUUUUGAAAAAUCGUUUUAUUAUACAUCAAAGUUGUUUUAAUAACGAGUCCAUUAUUUCUAAUCAGCAACAAUACUGCUUUGGGAUUUUGUUUACCGUCGAUUUGAUGA